AUUGUGUUUCUAGCUUCUAUAGGCAGUGAGACAGAAAAAAAUAAAUUAAAUUGAAAUCUCCAGGUGUUAGCCAAGGCUGGUACAUAUCAGGUUGGCAACGGCCCAAUUUAUUUCUCCAACCAGCUUUAGGUGCAUAUAUAGAGAGAGAGAGAGAGAGAGAGAGAGAGAGAGAGAGAGGCACACACACACACUCAGGCAAGAAUAGGAGCCCCAGACGCUGGAGGGAGCCUCUCCUGGGAUAGUGAGAAUGGCUAUCAGGACUCUCUCUUCUAGGUCAAAGCCACAGAGAAGGUCUACUUACCUUUCAGCUGCUCUUCAAGGGGGACUGGAUGGUGAGCAGGGCCCCACAGUCCGCCCUUUCUCUGGGCUGCCCACUCGACCUCCGCCAGCUUGGAGGGCGGCCCGCCGGUGUGUGGGGUGGACCUUGAGGGCCACCCGGGCCGCCUGGAUCUGUAGCCCAGGCCAGAGCCCAUAGCAUACAGGUGCGGCCUCUGCCUGUCAGAGGCCCUCGCCUGACGCCAAAGCCCGCCUUCCUUGCCAUAGCCAAUCCUCCUCAGGGCCAGCCAGGCCUGCAGGCCUCGGGGCCAGGAAUGGUCUCUCCGAUUUGCAAAUCCCAAAGCGGGCGCCUUCCCCGAACCAGCGUGCGCCCCGGGGACGCCUUGGGACGCGCAGUUUGGACAGAAGCAGCCAUAACGUGCCAGGCCGCCUGUGCAACCAGUCUCCAUGGCGCUGGGGGUAGGGGGAGGACCCGAGUCUAGUCGGGCUUCCAGCUCCUAUCAGGGGUGGCCAAGGCGGGGGAGGUUCCCGACAGGCCCUGGGAGGCCGCCCCUCAGGUCCUCCCUUGCCCCCCUCUGCUCGGCCUGCUUGGGAAUCUCUGAGGGGCCCGCGCAGCAGUCGCGCCAGGCUGCACGACGCGGGGCUGCGGCUGGCGUCGGUCCCGGCGACGGCCACAGCGUGGCAGCAGCGAGCGCCCAGCGCGGUCGCAAUAAAUAAUCUGCCCGCGGCAGCCGCAGUCAGGCAGCCCGCGGCCCUGCGACGCAAACGCGCAGCUUUAUCCUCCCUGAGUGCACCCACAGCGCCGGUGGACGUCCCAAACAUCUACAGCCCCUUCUUAAUUUUCUAAUGCACACCAAGGUAUUAUCUUAAGGUGGAAAAACAACAACAACGACCAGAACCACAGAACAAACAAAAAGAACUCGAGCCCAGAACCUCAGGAUCCUUUCUGGUCGCAGUCCCAGGAAGCUCCCGGGGCAAAUCUGGCCGACGCGCACCCAGGCCAAGCAACGGUCUGUGCCACCGCUCCACAUAAAGUCAGUGCCCACGGUACCCUCCGUGCCUCCCGGGCGGCUUCACAGUCCCCUCCCGGCUCGCGGAAAGUGGGGCGCGCGGUCGGCGGCCCGCUGCGCCGAUGUGGGGGUGGUGGGGUCCCCCUAUCGCCCAGACGCGGUUUGCGUCCUUCUUUCAACCUUAGCUGCGGGCCCCUGCCACUCUCAAUAACACCAGCACAUUCUCUGCACCGAAACUUCCCGCCAAGCAACACCCAGCCAAUUAACCCCAUCCUCUCCUCCAACACAGAGUUCCACCCACGCACCUAGUCCCUCUCCCCGCGCUUCAGACACAUCUGUCAUCGGAAAACCGCGUGAAAGGAAGCAGGCAAUCAGCAGAAGAACCUGGCCGAAUUAGUAAGUUUUUGUUUGUUUGUUUUUUUUCCCCCUCAUUCUACCUUUCUCUCCAGAAACCGAGUCCCUCAGAAUAGAAGGUGCUGUGUUGACACUAAUAAAAAAGCAGGUCGAUUAAUUCACUUUGCCCUCACCUCUUCCCACCUCCCCAGGUCGGGAACUGUCUUCAAUUGUUGGGAAAUUCAACCGAGCCAACUGGGUCAUGAAUGAAAAAAAAAAAAAAAUCCAAACCCGGGAGAUUGGCAAGGAACGCGGAGGGCAGGGCCACUUCUUUUUGGGCUCGGCAAGGUCGCUGGGGAAGAGGGGAGAGACCUCAGUGCUCCUGCCCCAUGCCAGGGCGCUGUGCCACUGAAAGGAGGCUGGCAUUCACUGCCAUGGUGAGCAAGAGAGAGGAGAGAGGGAGAGUGUGUGUGUGUGUGCGCGCGCGCGCGCACGUGUGAAGGGGGGCAAGUGUGAACGGUGAGUGUGGGCGAGGGUGAGUAUGCCCCUCUUCAAAGCCGCCCCAGUGCCCUCUCCCACCGCCGCCGGCGCCGGCUGCCAUCUCACCACCUUUGCUCCUGUCUCCCCACAUGUCUCACCUUCAGAUGGCGGCUCCCAGAAGCUCCUGCCCCUCUGACAGCUGUCGCUUGGGCAGCCGGGGAGACGAAUUGUCCUCCUUCCUGGUGCCAGAGGACGCAGGAAAUUAGCCAGGUUGCGAGUUGCGAAGCGGCCGCCGCGGCGCCGGGAACUGGACGCGCCCCACCUCCAGCGGGAGCGGCCGGGCCGGGCCGGGCCGGGGCCUCGUCUCGCUCGCCAUCGCCGGACAAAGCGCAGCCAAGCCCGGCUGGAAGGCAGAGCUCCGAAGCAGGCAGGACGGAGCGGAGCAAAAGAAUGCGGCUCUAUUCUCGCAAGGGAAAUUAUAAAAAAGUUCAUGUUCACGGUUCCCAUCCACAUGACCGACAGCGGCCAAUGGAAGGGCCGAACAACUCAUAAAGUUGUAUUGCAAAGUUGUAAAUUUUCAUAAACAACAACGGAUUU
This 2696-nucleotide long non-coding RNA is filed under the name Lynx pardinus (Iberian lynx). Lineage: Eukaryota; Metazoa; Chordata; Mammalia; Carnivora; Felidae. The record is from RNAcentral.